GCGAACGGGUGAGGAAUGUACAGGAAUCUACCUAGCAGUAAGGAAUAACCUUGGGAAACCAAAGCUAAUGCCAUAUAUUACCGAUUUAUCGGGAAAGAUUUAUCGCUGUUAGAUGAGCCUGUAUCGGAUUAGCUAGUUGGUGGGGUAAAGGCCUACCAAGGCAAUGAUCUGUAGCUGGUCUGAGAGGAUGAUCAGCCACACUGGGACUGCGACACGGCCCAGACUCC
Molecule: ribosomal RNA, 227 nt
Filed under: uncultured bacterium
Lineage: Bacteria
Description: partial 16S ribosomal RNA
Rfam family: Bacterial small subunit ribosomal RNA
Source: RNAcentral